This 104-nucleotide non-coding RNA is filed under the name Detonula confervacea. The record is from RNAcentral. Lineage: Eukaryota; Bacillariophyta; Thalassiosirophyceae; Thalassiosirales; Thalassiosiraceae.
GGAAGGAGGCGUCUGAGCGUCUAAUAUGAUUAGGAAUAGAAAAGAAAACAGUAUUGUAGAUUGAAGAUAUUUUUAUCUUUCUUUCUUUAUUAUAAAUAAAAAAU